CCUCGGAGAGCAGAAAAGUCUCUCCGGCGAGCGAAAGGAGGAAGGGGAAGGAAGUGCCGGGGCCCCUCAUGCGCUGCCGGGGUGGGCUGUCGGUGAACUGUGGCCGAGCGAGUGGCAACAACAUAGCCACCCCCUCCCUCCUCGCUGCCAGUACGUAAACGCUGCUGGUGGUUGUCAUUUGUCUUCCCAGGUUGCUUUGUGCAAUGGUGAAUUGCUGAACUGGAUUUAUGGAUGGUCGAAGCUUGAAUUGCCUCUGAACUGAGAAGAGGAGUGGAGUAGGCUGCCGCUCCUACUCCACAAUAAAGCAGGAUUCUGUGUGAAUGCACGAUACAAGCCCAUGAUGGAUCG
Molecule: long non-coding RNA, 348 nt
Organism: Lolium rigidum
Lineage: Eukaryota; Viridiplantae; Streptophyta; Magnoliopsida; Poales; Poaceae
Exons: 3
Source: RefSeq, a predicted model, not a curated record